AUUGAACGCUGGCGGCAUGAUUUACACAUGCAAGUCGAACGGUAACAGGCCGCAAGGUGCUGACGAGUGGCGAACGGGUGCGUAAUGCAUCGGAACGUGCCCAGUCGUGGGGGUUAGCUACUCGUAAGAGUAGCUAAUACCGCAUACGAUCUAUGGAUGAAAGCGGGGGACGGUAAGGCAUCGUGGGAUUGGAGCGGCCGAUGUCAGAUUAGGUAGUUGGUGGGGUAAAGGCUCACCAAGCCCACGAUCUGUAGCUGGUCUGAGAGGACGACCAGCCACACUGGAACUGAGACACGGCCCAGACUCCUACGGGAGGCAGCAGUGGGGAAUUUUGGACAAUGGGCGCAAGCCUGAUCCAGCAAUGCCGCGUGCAGGAAGAAGGCCUUCGGGUUGUAAACUGCUUUUGUACGGAACGAAACGGCUCUGGUUAAUACCCGGGGCUAAUGACGGUACCGUAAGAAUAAGCACCGGCUAACUACGUG
RNAcentral lists this ribosomal RNA (482 nucleotides) under uncultured bacterium. Its description in RNAcentral is "partial 16S ribosomal RNA". It matches the Rfam family "Bacterial small subunit ribosomal RNA", at positions 30 to 507 of the family's 1533-position model. The record is from RNAcentral.